AGAGUUUGAUCAUGGCUCAGAUUGAACGCUGGCGGCAUGCCUUACACAUGCAAGUCGAACGGUAACAGGUCUUCGGAUGCUGACGAGUGGCGAACGGGUGAGUAAUACAUCGGAACGUGCCCGAUCGUGGGGGAUAACGGAGCGAAAGCUUUGCUAAUACCGCAUACGAUCUACGGAUGAAAGCAGGGGACCGCAAGGCCUUGCGCGGACGGAGCGGCCGAUGGCAGAUUAGGUAGUUGGUGGGAUAAAAGCUUACCAAGCCGACGAUCUGUAGCUGGUCUGAGAGGACGACCAGCCACACUGGGACUGAGACACGGCCCAGACUCCUACGGGAGGCAGCAGUGGGGAAUUUUGGACAAUGGGCGAAAGCCUGAUCCAGCCAUGCCGCGUGCAGGAUGAAGGCCUUCGGGUUGUAAACUGCUUUUGUACGGAACGAAAAGACUCCUUCUAAUAAAGGGGGUCCAUGACGGUACCGUAAGAAUAAGCACCGGCUAACUACGUGCCAGCAGCCGCGGUAAUACGUAGGGUGCAAGCGUUAAUCGGAAUUACUGGGCGUAAAGCGUGCGCAGGCGGUUAUAUAAGACAGAUGUGAAAUCCCCGGGCUCAACCUGGGAACUGCAUUUGUGACUGUAUAGCUAGAGUACGGUAGAGGGGGAUGGAAUUCCGCGUGUAGCAGUGAAAUGCGUAGAUAUGCGGAGGAACACCGAUGGCGAAGGCAAUCCCCUGGACCUGUACUGACGCUCAUGCACGAAAGCGUGGGGAGCAAACAGGAUUAGAUACCCCGGUAGUCC
RNAcentral lists this ribosomal RNA (791 nucleotides) under uncultured bacterium. Its description in RNAcentral is "bacterial SSU rRNA". It matches the Rfam family "Bacterial small subunit ribosomal RNA", at positions 8 to 796 of the family's 1533-position model. The record is from RNAcentral.